GGCCGUGUGGUCUAGUAGUAUGAUACUCGCUUUGGGUUAGUCCGCAGUAUUGAGUUACUGUAAAUAAAUUUAUCGAAAUGCGAGUGGUCCAGGGUUCAAUUCCCUGCUCGGCCC
RNAcentral lists this transfer RNA (114 nucleotides) under Geotrichum candidum. Its description in RNAcentral is "tRNA-Pro". It matches the Rfam family "tRNA". From Rfam's summary of the family: Transfer RNA (tRNA) molecules are approximately 80 nucleotides in length. Their secondary structure includes four short double-helical elements and three loops (D, anti-codon, and T loops). Further hydrogen bonds mediate the characteristic L-shaped molecular structure. tRNAs have two regions of fundamental functional importance: the anti-codon, which is responsible for specific mRNA codon recognition, and the 3' end, to which the tRNAs corresponding amino acid is attached (by aminoacyl-tRNA synthetases). tRNAs cope with the degeneracy of the genetic code in two manners: having more than one tRNA (with a specific anti-codon) for a particular amino acid; and 'wobble' base-pairing, i.e. permitting non-standard base-pairing at the 3rd anti-codon position. Lineage: Eukaryota; Fungi; Ascomycota; Dipodascomycetes; Dipodascales; Dipodascaceae. The record is from RNAcentral.